UGUGCACUUACUGUGGGUUUCAGGAGCUUCGAAAGCGAGGGCCUUUGCGGGCUUUUUCGUUAUUAGUUGUGACUGGNCUCAUGUUCACUACAAACCAUUAUAAAGUAACAGAAUGUGUAUUGCGAUGUAACGCAUCUAUAUACAACUUUCAGCAACGGAUCUCUUGGCUCUCGCAUCGAUGAAGAACGCAGCGAAAUGCGAUAAGUAAUGUGAAUUGCAGAAUUCAGUGAAUCAUCGAAUCUUUGAACGCACCUUGCGCUCCUUGGUAUUCCGAGGAGCAUGCCUGUUUGAGUGUCAUGAAAUUCUCAACCUGACGGGUUCUUAACGGGACUUGCUUUCAGGCUUGGACUUGGAGGCUUGUCGGCUUGCUUGUCGAGUCGGCUCCUCUCAAAUGCAUUAGCUUGGUUCUUUGCGGAUCGGCUCCACGGUGUGAUAAUUGUCUACGCCGCGACCGUUGAAGCGUUUGAACGGGCCAGCUUAUAAUCGUCUCUGUCGCGAGACAAACAUUCAUCGAACUCUGACCUCAAAUCA
This 531-nucleotide small RNA is filed under the name Polyporales sp. MS-2015. RNAcentral's name for it is "eukaryotic LSU rRNA". The stretch from base 144 to 297 matches the Rfam family "5.8S ribosomal RNA". The record is from RNAcentral. Lineage: Eukaryota; Fungi; Basidiomycota; Agaricomycetes; Polyporales.